This 468-nucleotide ribosomal RNA is filed under the name uncultured bacterium. Its description in RNAcentral is "partial 16S ribosomal RNA". It matches the Rfam family "Bacterial small subunit ribosomal RNA", at positions 28 to 507 of the family's 1533-position model. The record is from RNAcentral.
GACGAACGCUGGCGGCGUGCCUAACACAUGCAAGUCGAACGGAAAGGCCCUGCUUUUGUGGGGUGCUCGAGUGCCGAACGGGUGAGUAUCACGUGUGUAACCCGCACUUGACUUUGGGAUAACUUCAGGAAACUGGGGCUAAUAUCGGAUAGGAGCUCCUGCUGCAUGGUGUGGGUUGGAAAGUUUCGGCGGUUUGAGAUGGACUCGCGGCUUAUGAGCUUGUUGGUGGGGUAGGGGCAUACCAAGGGUUUGACGGAUAGCCGGCCUGGGAGGGGGACCGGGGACAUGAGUCCUGAGGUACGGCGCAGACGCGAACGGGCGGCAGCGGGGGGGAAUAUUGCACAGUGGGCGGGAGCCUGAGGCGGAGACGCCGCGUGCGGGAUGACGGGCUUCGGGUGGUAAACCGCUUUCGCCUGUGACGAAGCGUGAGUGACGGUAAUGGGUAAAGAAGCACCGGCUAACUACGUG